AACUUUUAACAAUGGAUCACUUGGCUCUCGCAUCGAUGAAGAACGCAGCGAAAUGCGAUACGUAAUGUGAAUUGCAGAAUUCAGUGAAUCACCGAAUCUUUGAACGCACCUUGCGCCCCUUGGAAUUCCGAGGGGCACACCCGUUUGAGUGUCGUGAAAAUCCUUCAACCUUUCUUGGGUUCUUAACCGGGGAAGGCUUGGACUUUGGGGGUCUUUCAUUGCUGGCCUCUUUGAAGCCAGCUCCUCCUAAAUGGAUUAGUGUGGUCUGCUUUGCCGAUCCUUGACGUGAUAAGAUGUUUCUACGUCUUGGGUUUCGCACUGUCGCUUUAGACCCCGCUUCUAACCGUCUUGCAUUCAAGACAGAGUUUUAAACCUUGACCUCAAAUCGGGUGAGACUACCCGCUGAACUUAAGCAUAUCAAUAAGCGGAGGCU
Molecule: unclassified non-coding RNA, 433 nt
Filed under: uncultured Russula
Lineage: Eukaryota; Fungi; Basidiomycota; Agaricomycetes; Russulales; Russulaceae
Description: sequence contains ITS2
Rfam family: 5.8S ribosomal RNA (bases 1-154)
Source: RNAcentral